AUGAGUAAAAGUCUCAGGGUCUAGUGAAAUACCAUCCAAUAUGGAUCUGUAUUCAGCUUGAAAAUCUUGUUCACUAAACCCUUCAUUGACACCUGCAUUUCUCUCAAUUUCUCUCUUUUCUUGCAUCAAGGGCUCCCCUUGGCUCACCACACCACUCACCUCUCCCUCACUUACCCUUACUAAAGGGUCACUCUUAUCCUCUCCUUUUUCCUGGCUAGAAGAAAAUGCCAGACUCUCCACACCCUCUCCUUUUGCCAGCUCACUAGGCUGCCUCUCCACUCCAUAGCUCACUCCACUCAAUCCUAGAAGUGUUUGUGCUACCAUGUGAUCAACUGCUGUAGAAAGAGGUAAAUUAAUUGAAGUAACAGCAGUUGUCAACUGAUGAGGGACAUCAGUUGAAACAUGAGUAGAGGAGGCUUUCAACUGAUGAGAGCUGUUAAGCAGAUCAGUUGAAGGACAAACACUAUUCAACUGAUGAAGGGGAUCCGUUGAAGAUAAUGAAGAAAUAGGUUUAGAAGCUGUGAUAGUUGAGUCUGUGGUGAUUGAUUUUAGAGGAAAAUCCACAGAACACACUGUCACAGAAGAAGGAAUUGGAAGAGAAAGAUCCAACAAAUCAUCAAAAUGAUGAUGAUCAAUCUCAGAGGGGGGCUUCUCCAAGAAAUCCAAAGAUGGAGAAUUUCCAAGUGUGGUGUGAAUUAAUUCCACAUCCACAGAAGAGGUUGGGGAUUGUGUUUGAGUAGUAGAGAUGGUAAGAUCAUGAAUAUGGGUGAUUUGUUGAGAUGAAGAAGGGGGCUGUGACUCCACAUUUAUUGGAGUCACAUCAAUCUGACUUUGAGAAGUUCUUGCCUGUGUGUGUGGUGAGUGCUUGAGUUUGUCACUUCUCAACUUCUUUCUCCCAUAAGCUUUUAUUGGUGAAGAAGUGGUGUCCCUCCCCCUUUUUAACUGUGUCCCUGGUUGGGGACUAUUUUCAAUAGCAACAUCCUUUUGGGAGGAUGAUGCUAGGGAUGAGUUAAAUUCCAUAUUAACAUCUACAGUCUUUUGCAGAGUGGCCAGGCUGGUCAACACACACCUCUCCAUCCUUAUGCUUAGGGCUUCUUUUAUGUUCACCCUUUCCCUCCCCCUCACAACCUCCAAACACACUCCCCUCAGGUUUGUUUUUCUUGGAUUUUACAACAGGUGCCUUUUGGGAGGCAUCUGAGGUUGGUUUAGAAGACUUGGAUUUAGAAGGUUUUGCCACUUGUGUGGACUGUUGAUGGGCCUCUUCAACAGCCCUGAUGGCAGAAAGCAAGGAAGAUGAGGGUUGGGAAGGAGUAGUAGGAAAGCCAUGUACCUCUUUUUCCUUACCAGCCUCCACACACUCCCCUCAGGUUUGUUUUUCUUGGAUUUUACAACAGGUGCCUUUUGGGAGGCAUCUGAGGUUGGUUUAGAAGACUUGGAUUUAGAAGGUUUUGCCACUUGUGUGGACUGUUGAUGGGCCUCUUCAACAGCCCUGAUGGCAGAAAGCAAGGAAGAUGAGGGUUGGGAAGGAGUAGUAGGAAAGCCAUGUACCUCUUUUUCCUUACCAGCCUCCAUUAUUGGCAGGUACACCACCUCCAAGGAGGGAUAUAGAUUCAUCCUUAAGAGGUCUUUAAAGACUCUCUUUUCCU
This 1646-nucleotide long non-coding RNA is filed under the name Daucus carota (carrot). Its description in RNAcentral is "long non-coding RNA (DCAR_LNC005200)". Lineage: Eukaryota; Viridiplantae; Streptophyta; Magnoliopsida; Apiales; Apiaceae. The record is from RNAcentral.